This 468-nucleotide ribosomal RNA is filed under the name unidentified high G+C Gram-positive bacterium. RNAcentral describes it as "bacterial SSU rRNA". It matches the Rfam family "Bacterial small subunit ribosomal RNA", at positions 28 to 508 of the family's 1533-position model. Lineage: Bacteria; Bacillati; Actinomycetota; Actinomycetes. The record is from RNAcentral.
GAUGAACGCUGGCGGCGUGCUUAACACAUGCAAGUCGAUCGAUGAUCUCCAGCUUGCUGGGGGGAUUAGUGGCGAACGGGUGAGUAACACGUGAGUAACCUGCCCUUGACUCUGGGAUAAGCCUGGGAAACUGGGUCUAAUACCGGAUACGACCGCUCCACGCAUGUGGUGGUGGUGGAAAGCUUUUGCGGUUUUGGAUGGACUCGCGGCCUAUCAGCUUGUUGGUGGGGUAAUGGCCUACCAAGGCGACGACGGGUAGCCGGCCUGAGAGGGUGACCGGCCACACUGGGACUGAGACACGGCCCAGACUCCUACGGGAGGCAGCAGUGGGGAAUAUUGCACAAUGGGCGCAAGCCUGAUGCAGCGACGCCGCGUGAGGGAUGACGGCCUUCGGGUUGUAAACCUCUUUCAGUAGGGAAGAAGCGAAAGUGACGGUACCUGCAGAAGAAGCGCCGGCUAACUACGUGC